AAUCAGAAGAGAAGAAUAUGAUGGAAAAAAAAAGAAAAUCUAGUUAUUUUGGUUUGUUCUUUAUCAAAGCACCCACUGUUGGAUCGGAAGGGAAAUAUUUGUGGUAAGACUCCAAAUUUGCAUGUGUUUUUCUUUUUUUCUCUUUUUUCUAACAAUCUUCUUCCACACUCCAGAAUUAGGAGAAAUGGCUCAAUGAAGCUAUGGUCCCCUAUUUCUAAGGUAACUAGUAAAGGUAGCAUUACUGGCAUAAGGUUCCUCAUCCAGCCAUACCUUAGUACAGCAAGUCACAAGUGUCCUUUCCCCUAAUAAUCAUAAUGGAAAAGGCAAAUGUAAAUAACACCAGGGGAGAUGGAUCUACAUAUGGUGUGUGAUUCGAUUUUUCUUUAAUUUCUUUAUGGAAAAUGUA
RNAcentral lists this long non-coding RNA (406 nucleotides) under Papio anubis (olive baboon). RNAcentral describes it as "lncRNA (ENSPANG00000044388.1)". The record is from RNAcentral. Lineage: Eukaryota; Metazoa; Chordata; Mammalia; Primates; Cercopithecidae.